RNAcentral lists this ribosomal RNA (1933 nucleotides) under human metagenome. Its description in RNAcentral is "bacterial LSU rRNA". It matches the Rfam family "Bacterial large subunit ribosomal RNA", at positions 1093 to 2925 of the family's 2925-position model. The record is from RNAcentral.
CCAGGAGGUUGGCUUAGAAGCAGCCAUCCUUGAAAGAGUGCGUAAUAGCUCACUGGUCGAGUGGUUCUGCGCCGAUAAUGUAGCGGGGCUUAAGUACACCGCCGAAACCGCGGCAACACACUUGGUGUGUUGGGUAGGGGAGCGUCGUGCAUGUGUUGAAGCCAGCUGGUGACAGGUGGUGGAGUGUGUGCGAGUGAGAAUGCAGGCAUGAGUAACGAUUGAUGUGUGAGAAACAUAUCCGCCGGAUGACUAAGGGUUCCUGGGUGAAGUUUGUCUUCCCAGGGUGAGUCGGGGCCUAAGGCGAGGCCGACAGGCGUAGUCGAUGGAUGACGGGUUGAUAUUCCCGUACCCGUGUGCGUGCGACAAGUGAUGAAUCUUAUGGUACUAACCACCCGCUUGUUUCUGCUGAUCUUUUUGGUUGGUGGUUUCAGGUGCGUGGGAUCUUCGUGGGUAGUAGUCAAGUGAUGGGGUGACGCAGAGUGGUAGCUAGGCUUCCUUAUUGGAUUGGAGUGCAAGCGUGUGGCCUGUGGGGUUGGGAAAUCCGCCCCACAUGAGGGUGAGGCGUGAUGCGGACACCAUUUGUGGUGGUAGUUAGUGUGCCUGUGCUGUCUAGAAAAGCCUCUAGCGAGUGCGUGCAUGGCCCGUACCGGAAACCGACACAGGUGGUCAGGUAGAGAAUACUAAGGCGUUCGGGUGAACUGUGGUUAAGGAACUCGGCAAAAUGCCCCCGUAACUUCGGGAGAAGGGGGACCAUUACUGGUUGCUGACAGCAUGAUGGCUGGUGGUGGUCGCAGAGGAGAGAGGGAAGCGACUGUUUAUUAAAAACACAGGUCCGUGCGAAAACGUGGAAGUUGAGGUAUACGGACUGACGCCUGCCCGGUGCUGGAAGGUUAAGAGGACCCGUGAGCACAUCUUGUGUGUGCGAGGCGGAGAAUUGAAGCCCCAGUAAACGGCGGUGGUAACUAUAACCAUCCUAAGGUAGCGAAAUUCCUUGUCGGGUAAGUUCCGACCUGCACGAAUGGCGUAACGACUUCCCUGCUGUCUCAACCACAGGCCCGGUGAAAUUGCAGUACGAGUAAAGAUGCUCGUUUCGCGCGGCAGGACGAAAAGACCCCGGGACCUUUACUAUAGCUUGGUAUUGGUGUUUGGUCAUGCUUGUGUAGGAUAGGUGGGAGACUGUGAAGCCGCAACGCUAGUUGUGGUGGAGUCGCAGGUGAAAUACCACUCUGGUGUGAUUGGGUACCUGAACCUUGGCCCGUGAUCCGGGUUGGGGACAGUGCCUGGUGGGUAGUUUAACUGGGGCGGUUGCCUCCUAAAUGGUAACGGAGGCGCCCAAAGGUUUCCUCAGUCUGGUUGGCAAUCAGAUGGUGAGUGUAAGUGUAUAAGGGAGCUUGACUGUGACACUGACGGGUGGAGCAGGUGCGAAAGCAGGGACUAGUGAUCCGGCACCUACGUGUGGUUGUGGUGUCGCUCAACGGAUAAAAGGUACCCCGGGGAUAACAGGCUGAUCUUCCCCAAGAGUUCAUAUCGACGGGAUGGUUUGGCACCUCGAUGUCGGCUCGUCGCAUCCUGGGGCUGGAGUAGGUCCCAAGGGUUGGGCUGUUCGCCCAUUAAAGCGGCACGCGAGCUGGGUUUAGAACGUCGUGAGACAGUUCGGUCUCUAUCCGCCGCGCGCGUUGAAACUUGAAGAAGGCUGUCCCUAGUACGAGAGGACCGGGAUGGACGUACCUCUGGUAUGCCAGUUGUCACGCCAGUGGCAUGGCUGGUUAGCUACGUGCGGGAGGGAUAACCGCUGAAAGCAUCUAAGCGGGAAGCCUGUUUUGAGAUGAGGUUUCUGUUGAGGUUCCCUAUAGAUGAUGGGGUUGAUAGGCCAGGGCUGUGAGCAUGGUGACGUGUUGUAAGGUGACUGGUACUAAUAUACCGACACAAAAUA